AAGUCAAUUUGGUUUAUCUUUAUUUUGCUGCAUCUGAAGUCCAGCAACUCACUUUCCACUUUCUCUACUCCUUUUUCCUCUUUCUUUGUUCUUCUUUCCUCUUCCCUUCUUACACGGCAACAUCUCUCUCUUCCUUUCUCACCAAAAAUUCUAGUUUCCUUAAAGAAGAAAUUAAACAAUUAGCCUUAAGGUUUCAUCUUCAAAGUGUGUGGGCGUUACCAGUUCCCCAGGUUUAAGCUCCUUCGACUUUAGGCUCUCAGUUCCUCUGCUUUCAGCUCACCCCUUCCACUCUUUCAGUUAACAGGUUUUAUUUUGGAGCAGAGGGAGCCUUAGUCGAGUUUGGAAGGAGCUGGUUUUAGUUUGAUAUGUAUAGAUCCUAAAUUAGCAAUUUGAUGUUUAGCUUUAUAGUAUUGUGUAUUUUAGGAUCAAAUGAAAGUUGUGUACCUUAAGGUAUUAAGCGAUGUAUUAUGUAAAAGUGUGAAAAUUAAAUGAUUGGUGGAUUAUGUUA
Quercus robur (English oak) is the source of this 508-nucleotide long non-coding RNA. RefSeq lists it as uncharacterized. The record is from RefSeq and is a predicted model, not a curated record. NCBI's taxonomy places the organism in Eukaryota, Viridiplantae, Streptophyta, Magnoliopsida, Fagales, Fagaceae. The transcript has 3 exons.